Non-coding RNA from Chloroflexi bacterium GWB2_54_36, 2960 nucleotides. The record is from Rfam. NCBI's taxonomy places the organism in Bacteria, Bacillati, Chloroflexota.
GCGGAAGCUACUAAGGGCUUACGGUGAAUGCCUUGGCGCUAAGUGCCGAUGAAGGACGUGGGUCACUGCGAUAAGCCUCGGGAAGCCGUGAACAGGCGUUGAUCCGGGGAUUUCCGAAUGGAGAAAUCCGCUGUUGCGAACCAACAGCAUCCCAUACUGAACACAUAAGUAUGUGGAGGGGAACCUGGUGAACUGAAACAUCUAAGUAACCAGAGGAAAAGAGAGCAUUCCCUGAGUAGUGGCGAGCGAAAAGGGAACAGCCCAAACCAUCACUUGUGAUGGGGUUGUAGGGCCUGGCACAUAGGAGUUACAAAGCAGAUCGUUAGUGGAAUGGUGUGGGACAGCCAGCCAUAGAGGGUAACAGCCCCGUACGCGAAAACGAUUUGUCUCCUGCUAGGUACCUGAGUACUGCCGGGCACGCUAAUCCGGCAGGAAUCUGGGGAGUCCACUCUCCAAGGCUAAAUACACUUGGCGACCGAUAGUGAACAAGUACCGUGAGGGAAAGGUGAAAAGUACCCCGUUGAGGGGAGUGAAAUAGAACCUGAAACCGUAAGCUUACAAGCAGUUGAAGGGCUAAUAGUGGGUCGGUGCCCCGGAGAAAUUCGGGUGCGCGCCACUACGCCUGACAGCGUGCCUCUUGGAGAAUGAGCCUGCGAGUUAAUCUUUGUGGCGAGGUUAAGGGAGUAACACCCGGAGCCGUAGCGAAAGCGAGUCUGAAUAGGGCGUUCAGUCGCAAGGAUUAGACCCGAAACUGGGUGAGCUACCCAUGACCAGGGUGAAGCGAGUUUAACCGCUCGUGGAGGCCCGAACCUACUAAUGUUGCAAAAUUAGGGGAUGAGUUGUGGGUAGGGGUGAUAUGCCAAACGAACCCAGAGAUAGCUGGUUCUCCCCGAAAUAGCUUUAGGGCUAGCGCCAUGCGUUCAGUACCGGAGGUAGAGCACUGAAUGGACUAGGGGGCUUAGAGCUUACCAACUCCAAUCAAACUCCGAAUGCCGGUACUCCAGAGCAUGGUAGUCGGACUACGGGUGAUGAGAUUCGUGGUCAAAAGGGAAACAGCCCAGAUCAUCGGCUAAGGUCCCAAAAUUCAAGCUGAGUGGGAAACGAUGUGGGGUUACUUGAACAACCAGGAGGUUGGCUUAGAAGCAGCCACCCUUUAAAGAGUGCGUAAUAGCUCACUGGUCUAGUGAUCCUGCGCGGAAAACUUAACGGGGCUAAGCUUGAUACCGAAGCCAUGGGCUUCAGCGUAAGCUGGAGCGGUAGGGGAGCGUUCUAUCUGCAGUGAAGGUCGACCGUAAGGACGGCUGGAGCGGAUAGAAGUGAGAAUGCAGGCAUGAGUAGCGUAAAAUACGUGAGAACCGUAUUCGCCGUAUGUCUAAGGUUUCCGACGCCAGGUCAUUCCGCGUCGGGUUAGUCGGGUCCUUAGCCGAGGCCGAAAGGCGUAGGUGAUGGACAUCCGGUCAACAUUCCGGAACCACUUGAGUUGAGUGAUGGAGGGACGCAGCGAGGUAGGCCAGCCUGCGAUUGGUUGUGCAGGUGCAUGGUGUGGCAGGCGUUGAGGUCUGUAGGCAAAUCCGCAGACUGAGCUGAGACAUCGUGACGAGCCUCUAAGGCAUAAGUGAGUUGAGCCUUGCUGCCGAGAAAAGCUUCUAAACGUUGAAACUCGAGUGCCCGUACCGCAAACCGACACUGGUAGACGGGUAGAAUAUACCAAGGCGAACGGGAGAACCUUCGUUAAGGAAUUAGGCAAAUUAGCCCCGUAACUUCGGGAUAAGGGGUGCCUCUAGACGUGAAUGAAUAAUGAGCGUCCGGAGGCCGCAGUGAAAUGGUUCUAGUGACUGGUUACCAAAACCACAGGUCUCUGCUAAGCCGAAAGGCGAUGUAUAGGGGCUGACGCCUGCCCAGUGCCGGAAGGUUAAAGGGAGAGGUUAGCGCAAGCGAAGCUUUGAACUGAAGCCCCGGUGAACGGCGGCCGUAACUAUAACGGUCCUAAGGUAGCGAAAUUCCUUGUCGGGUAAGUUCCGACCCGCACGAACGGCGUAACAACUAGAACACUGUCUCAACGAAGGACCCGGCGAAAUUGAAAUGGCUGUGAAGAUGCGGCCUACCCGCAGCAGGACAAAAAGACCCCGUGGAGCUUUACUGCAUCCUGACAUUGAAUUUGGGCAUUGUCUGUGUAGAAUAGGUGGGAGUCUAUGAAGCUGGGGCGCUAGCCUCGGUGGAGACGUCAGUGAAAUACCACCCUGAUGAUGUUUAGAUCCUAACCCCACACCGUAAUCCGGGUGGGGGACCGUGCCAGGUGGGCAGUUUGACUGGGGCGGUCGCCUCCCAAAAUGUAACGGAGGCGCCCAAAGGUUCCCUCAGGCUGAAUGGAAACCAGCCGUAGAGUGUAAAGGCAUAAGGGAGCUUGACUGCAAGACCAACGCGUCGAGCAGAGUCGAAAGACGGGCUUAGUGAUCCCACGGUACUGAGUGGAAGGGCCGUGGCUUACCGGAUAAAAGCUACCCCGGGGAUAACAGGCUGAUCUCCCCCAAGAGUUCACAUCGACGGGGAGGUUUGGCACCUCGAUGUCGGCUCAUCGCAUCCUGGGGCUGUACAAGGUCCCAAGGGUCGGGCUGUUCGCCCGUUAAAGCGGUACGCGAGCUGGGUUCAGACCGUCGUGAGACAGGUCGGUCUCUAUCCGCUGUGGGCGUAAGGGAUUUGAGAGGAGCUGCCCCUAGUACGAGAGGACCGGGGUGGACAGACCUCUGGUGUGCCAGUUGUCGUGCCAACGGCAUCGCUGGGUAGCCAUGUCUGGCAGGGAUAACCGCUGAAAGCAUCUAAGCGGGAAGCUCGCCUCGAGAUGAGAUCCCUCUUCCCGUAAGGGAGUAAGAUCGCAGGUAGACCACCUGCUUGAUAGGCAGCGUGUGUAAGCGUAGCAAUACGUUGAGCUAAGCUGUACUAAUGAUCGAGGGCUUCCGUUG